GGGCUUGUAGCUCAGUGGUAGAGCGCCGCCCUCGCAAGGCGGAGGCCUCGGGUUCAAAUCCCGACAGGUCCA
Molecule: transfer RNA, 72 nt
Filed under: Methanobacteriales archaeon
Lineage: Archaea; Methanobacteriati; Methanobacteriota; Methanobacteria; Methanobacteriales
Description: tRNA-Ala
Rfam family: tRNA
About the family: Transfer RNA (tRNA) molecules are approximately 80 nucleotides in length. Their secondary structure includes four short double-helical elements and three loops (D, anti-codon, and T loops).
Source: RNAcentral